Molecule: ribosomal RNA, 491 nt
Filed under: uncultured Glomeromycotina
Lineage: Eukaryota; Fungi; Glomeromycota
Description: SSU rRNA
Rfam family: Eukaryotic small subunit ribosomal RNA
Source: RNAcentral
AGCAGCCGCGGUAAUUCCAGCUCCAAUAGCGUAUAUUAAAGUUGUUGCAGUUAAAAAGCUCGUAGUUGAAUUUCGAGACUGGUUUAUUGGUCGUGCUUUUGUACGUACUGGUAUUAUUGGUUUCUCCUUUCUGACGAAUCAUAAUGCCAUUAAUUUGGUGUUUUGGGGAAUCAGGACUGUUACUUUGAAAAAUUAGAGUGUUUAAAGCAGGCUCACGCUUGAAUACAUUAGCAUGGAAUAACGGAAUAGGACGUUUGAUUCUAUUUUGUUGGUUUCUAGGAUCGACGUAAUGAUUAAUAGGGAUAGUUGGGGGCAUUAGUAUUCAAUUGUCAGAGGUGAAAUUCUUGGAUUUAUUGAAGACUAACUACUGCGAAAGCAUUUGCCAAGGAUGUUUUCAUUAAUCAAGAACGAAAGUUAGGGGAUCGAAGACGAUCAGAUACCGUCGUAGUCUUAACCAUAAACUAUGCCGACUAGGGAUCGGAUGAUGUUAA